This is a small nucleolar RNA of Ochotona princeps (American pika), 67 nucleotides long. RefSeq annotates it as small nucleolar RNA SNORD58. The transcript has a single exon. Lineage: Eukaryota; Metazoa; Chordata; Mammalia; Lagomorpha; Ochotonidae. The record is from RefSeq and is a predicted model, not a curated record.
UUGCUAUGAUGACCAAUCUUAGGACACCUUUGGAUUGCCCGUGAAAUCAAACGUGAUGCUGAGCGAC